CGUGUAGGCGGUUCAGCAAGUCGGAUGUGAAAGCCCUCGGCUUAACCGAGGAAGGGCGUUCGAAACUACUGAACUUGAGUGCCGGAGAGGGUGGCGGAAUUCCCGGUGUAGAGGUGAAAUUCGUAGAUAUCGGGAGGAACACCAGCGGCGAAGGCGGCCACCUGGACGGUAACUGACGCUGAGACGCGAAAGCGUGGGGAGCAAACAG
This 208-nucleotide ribosomal RNA is filed under the name uncultured delta proteobacterium. Its description in RNAcentral is "partial 16S ribosomal RNA". It matches the Rfam family "Bacterial small subunit ribosomal RNA", at positions 568 to 775 of the family's 1533-position model. Lineage: Bacteria; Deltaproteobacteria. The record is from RNAcentral.